AUUAAGUCCUUAUUUAGUACUUAGUCUGAAGUGUGACCCAAUCAGCCAUGAGUGCCUCUCAUGACAAAGACUUGACACCACCACCUUCCUCCAGGGGAAAGAAGAAAAAGAAGAAAUCCACUCGGAAGAAGAGAAGGAGGUCCUCAUCCUAUAGCCCAUCGCCUGCCAAGAAAAAGAAGAAGAAAGGUUCCAAGAAACAUAAGCGACGCAGGUCAUUCUCCAAGAAGAGAAGGCACAGCUCCUCUAGCCCAAAAAGCAAAAAAAGAGAUGAGAAGAGGCACAAGAAACAAUCUCGAAGCCGCCCCCGAAAGUCUCACCGCCACCGCCAUCACCGCUGCCCCUCGCGGUCCCAGAGCUCGGAGUCCCGCCCCUCAAGCUAUGAGAGCAGGCACCGCGCCCGGUCCCCUGAGGAAGGGCAGAAAUCCCGCCGAAGGCACUCCCGCCGCUGCUCCAAGACCCU
RNAcentral lists this small RNA (460 nucleotides) under Pongo abelii (Sumatran orangutan). Its description in RNAcentral is "processed transcript". Lineage: Eukaryota; Metazoa; Chordata; Mammalia; Primates; Hominidae. The record is from RNAcentral.